GGCUGAAUCAUUAGAAUUUUGUCAUUUGAUUGCAAUUAAAUUUUCGAACUGAACUACUCUAUUCAAGCAAGCAACUACUGAGAUAUUCAUAAGCAACGAAUUUGAGCAAAUUUAGCAGCCAAACUUGUCCUAUAUAAAUAUGUCAUAAAGAUGCUAAUAUGCCAGAUGUUUGAUUAAAAAUAGGGCCAUAGGAAUGAGCCCCUCAGAUGAUCUGAAAAAUGGAAGUGGGGACUCUUUGUGCAUUUCCCCUGGUAUGAGAAUUAGUCCCUUGUGAAAGAUUAGGAUAAUGAAAUAUAAUGUUUGUAUGUAUGUGGUGAUUCUACUAAAGGACGAAAGUUAGGCGAUGAAGACAUGUGACGGUAUAUCGUCCUUUUGCCAGGAUCGUGUGAUGAACGGAAACAAUGGCUGCCUCUUAAAAUUAAUGAGACGAUAUAGAGAAUCAGAUAUUUUUUAAGUUUUUCCAAUUUAGUCAUGUACUUUCACAAGAGGUAACGGGUCUAAUCAUGAUCAUCGUCAUUGGUAUAUCGAGUAAAUGCAUCCACAUCAACUAGUAUAGAUCACGGGCAUAUUUCGCAAGUUGGUCCCCAUUAGUAUCAAUACCUAAGCAUCUUCAGCUUAUUAUGCAUUUAAAUGGGUCUGUCCUUCCGAUUGGCCUUUCUUUUAGAAAUAACCGUAGGUACCCCUACAUGGUAUGGGAUGAAAUCUUUUACUUUUAAAUUUCCAGUCAUCGUGUUAUUGCGGGUUAUUACCAUAUAUGUGUUUUAUCUAAGCUUAAAAGAAGGUUAAUAUAAAUAUUUUUUUUCUAGUUUGGACGAAAGAGAAAAUUAGAGGAAACCAUACUAUUUUAAUUAAGCACCAUCACAACCUGGAUGUGUUUUUCAGGCUCCUCCAAGAGAGAAUGGGGGAAUUGCUCUAUGAUGUUCCAAAGGUUGGGUUUUCACCCAUUAAAAUGAUACGUGAGCUCGCUUUAGAACAUUGCGAGAUAAUUCGAUCCAUAUUCGGUGUGGGUGUUAGAGCAUUGAGAGGAUUUUCUCCUAUUACGAUAGGAUCGGGAAGGAUGCCCUCUGGUGUAUAUCACAAAAGUCUUUUCAAACGGGGAAUUUCGUAAGUCCAUUUAGUUAUCUGAUUUGGCUUGUUCUUGUUAUUCCGAGCCCUUUUGUUGUUUCUUAACCUCCAUUAGUAAGUUAUCUGAACCCUCUUCCUAUAAAGAAGUUGUUCUCGAUCCUCUUUGGCAACAGACUAUCGCUAAUGAACUAUAUGAUCUAUACAAGACAGACACUUGAGACUUGGUUACAUUACCUUCAGGUGAACAUGCUAUUGGUUCUCUUUGGGUUUAUAAGAUUAAAAUCAAAUCCGACUGUUCAGUUGAGUGUUCAACGGCUAAGAUUGGUUGCUAAGGAUUUUAAUCAACGGUAUGGUCUAUAUUAUGAGACUUUUGCUCCUGUUGCCAAGAUGACCAUUGUUUAUAGACUUAUUGCAAUUGCAUAUAUUCGUUAGUGGAGUCUCUCUUAGUUAGAUGUCAAAAAUGCAUUUAUGAAUGUAAAUCUUCAAGAAGUUUAUAUAGUUCCUUCUCCUUGUCUUUUUCACAAUCCUGGAUAUAUUUGCAAAUUCAAGAAGGCAAUUUGUGGCCCCGAACAAUUACUCGUGCUCGAUUUGAGAAAUUUUCCACUUUUGUGGCUUCUUUUGAUUUUACAUCCAUUCAUCAUGACUCUACCUUAUUCUUUAUAUGCAGUUUAGUUGGUCCCAUUCUACUUUUACUGUAUGUUAAUAAUAUGAUUAUUACUAGUGAUGAUGUUAAUAAGAUUGCAGAUUUGAAAUCAAAAUUGGUUUGUCGUUUUGAAAUGAAUGACUUAGGUACAUUAUCUUAAUUUUUGGGAAUCGAAGUUGCUUAUUUUCCUGGAGGUCAUCUUCUCUCUUAAUCCAAGUAUGCUAUUUAUAUUAUUGAGCGUGCUCGUCUUACUAAUCCUAAAACUACCGAUACCUUUAUUGAGUCCAACGCACGUUAUUCACCCUCUAAAGGUAUACCCUUUUCUGAUCCCAAUUUGUAUCUCACAACUAUAGGAUGUCUGAUUUAUCUUACCAUCACAUGCUCGAUUUGCUUAUUUUGUUCACAUUAUUAGUCAGUUUGUUUCAACUCCUACUACAAUUAACUGGGUAGCUACUGUUCAUAUUUUGCACUAUCUUCAUGGUAUUUUCUUUCAGAGUCUUUUGUUUUCUUCGACCUCCUCUUUAGUGCUCUGUGCCUAUUCUAAUGCUAAUUGGGACAAUAAUCUCAUUGAUCGUAAGUUCACUACUCAUUUUUGUAUAUUUUUUGUUGAUUUCCUUAUUUCUUGGAAGAGUAAGAAAAAGAUUGUUGUUUCUUGUUAUCAUGUUAUGGCUUCAACAACCAUGGCUACAUUGGCUAUUUGCAGACAUGGGUGUUCCUUCAUCCUCUCCAAUCCAUGCAUUGUGAUAAUGAAAGUACUAUUCAAAUCUCUCAUAACUCUGUGUUCUAUAAGCGCACUAAACAUAUUGAGAUUGAUUGUCAUCGAUUUGCCAUCAUUUGCAGACUGACACUAUUUUCUUACCUUAUGUUUCUUCAUCAUUGUAGCUUGCUAACUUUUUCACGAAAUGUUAUCCAGUUCAUGGUUUUCGCUUCUUGCUUGACAGGCUCCCACUGCUUCUUGUUGUAGUAUUGUGAGUUAGAGGGAGGGGAUGCUAGCAUAAUUAGUAUAAUAAUAAUGAUACUACAUCAUACUAUUAUUAGUUAUAUUAUUUAGUUUCCUUAUUUUUUAGGUUAUCUUGCAGUAUAUAAACUUAUGUUAUUCCAUUAUUUACUCUAAUUUUGG
This 2828-nucleotide long non-coding RNA is filed under the name Olea europaea subsp. europaea. Lineage: Eukaryota; Viridiplantae; Streptophyta; Magnoliopsida; Lamiales; Oleaceae. The record is from RNAcentral.